UACGAAGGGUGCAAGCGUUAUUCGGAGUUAUUGGGCGUAAAGGGUGCGCAGGCGGUGUAUUAAGUCAACUGUUAAAUUUCCCGGCUUAACUGGGAACAAGCAGUAGAUACUGGUAUACUUGAGGGUGGAAGAGAGAAGUGGAAUUCUCGGAGUAGCGGUAAAAUGCGUAGAUCUCGAGAGGAACACCGAUGGCGAAGGCAGCUUCUUAGUCCACAUCUGACGCUCAUGCACGAAAGCGUGGGGAGCAAACAGG
This 253-nucleotide ribosomal RNA is filed under the name uncultured bacterium. RNAcentral's name for it is "partial 16S ribosomal RNA". It matches the Rfam family "Bacterial small subunit ribosomal RNA", at positions 524 to 776 of the family's 1533-position model. The record is from RNAcentral.